Long non-coding RNA from Bos taurus (domestic cattle), 1994 nucleotides. The record is from Ensembl. NCBI's taxonomy places the organism in Eukaryota, Metazoa, Chordata, Mammalia, Artiodactyla, Bovidae.
GUGCUAUACCUUAUAUCCUGUUGCUUAUCUAUUUUAAAUAUGGUUUCUUUAAAUAGGGUUUCUGCAAACUAUUAUAUAGUUUGUAUCUGUUAAUCCCAUCCCGCUGCUCUUCCCUCUCCUUUUUGGUAAAACCACAAGUUUUGUUUCCUAUGUCUCUGAGUCCGUUUCUGUUUUGGAUAUACAUAUGUUUUCUUUUUUUUAAUUCCACAUACAACUGAUAUUAUCAUGUAGUAUUUGUCUUUCUCUUUUUCUUUGACUAAUUUCACUAAGCAUGAUGCUCUCUCGGUCCAUCCACAUUUCUGGGGCAUUUUAAGUACUGACUCCUGGGUCCCACCUCCAGCCAUUCUGCCAUGAGAUGAAGCCAGGCACCGCAGUUUUCGAAGCUCCCUCGGGGGAUUUGAAUACGCAGCAAAACACAUUUCACCUGGUGGCCUCUCCGCAGGAGGCUGGCAUCACACUGGCUGGUGAUGCUUUCUGGGCUUUGUCGGAUUUUCAUUCCUCAGGAAACAGAACCAGGAGUGACCAGCGAGGCCCAGCCCAGUGGCAGAGCUGAGAUCUCUGUGACCGGCAGAGGGUCCCUGGCUGAGAGAGGGUACCGGUUGCCUUCUGCCUGCCUGCCCCAGGCAAGGAUGAGCUCUCCCCUGAGGGGGAUCCAUAGCCCGUGCUAGCAGUGGGCUAGCAGACCACCCGGCACUCUGAAUCCUGGGACCGCCCCACCCCACCCCAUGCACUGCUGGUCACUGGGAGCACUCAAGACAGGAAGAACUCACCACUCAGAGACAGCUGAGCGGCCCACAUGACUCCCCAAGGAAGAAUUUGUUCUCUGAGGUCAUGGCCAAUGCAGAGUCCCUUUGGGGUCACAGAGGGAAACUUAUCACCCAAUAGACCCAUCUUACCCAUAACUCAGGACUCCUCCCAGCUGGCGGGUCCGGGAUGUGAGCUGUUAUGCACGUGGGAAGAACUGCAGGGCCCUGCAUGUGGAUAAAGCUCAGGAAACGCAGGUUGGAAGGAAGCCUGACUGUGGAGACCAACGGUCAGACCUGACAGUAAAGCCCUUCCUUACCCCAGCCAGCUUCCGAAGCAAAGAGAAAAGAGCAGAGCAGGCUGCUUCAGAAGCGGACCCCAUGUCGCCCCCUGGAGGUCAGCGAUGCCAUCAAGGCUCAGCCUACACCAUGAACGGGUCACAAGCAGCAGCCCGGGAAGACUGUGGUCUGACUGCCCAGCAAGUUCUAUGAAUAAGCCCAGUCUUCACUCACAGUUCAUGAAAGGAACACUGUCCCAGAGCAGCCUCAGCCCCUGUGGGUUUCAGCUCAGAAGGAGAAUGUUGUUGCUUGAGCCUCUUUCGAGUUUUAAAAAGGACAAGGAAAGGCACUGUGUACAGUGUUUUACUUCGGGCCUUUUUUUUUUCAUUACUCCAAACUGUUGGAUGUUGAAAACCUUGCAUUUACUUGUGAAUUGCCUGUCUGUGUUUAUGUAUGGAGGAGGGUAAAGACUUGAAGAGUCAAAAUUACUUUUAUUUUCCUUGUAAGUUUCUCCACAACUUAGCUUUUCAUCGAGCAUCCCAUAUUUAUUUCUGUGUAAUUAUGUCAUUAUUUGGUGCAUUUUAUAACCAGAGAUGCUAAAAAUUGUUCUAUCCCACCCUUCCAUGCUGAAGUCAGAUGAGCCACAGUGGUGGCACAGAAUCCAGACCCACCCAGCAGUUAGACGGGGCCUCACUUACCCAUGGAAAACAGUCCUGGAUGAGCACACCAAUUUACCCAGGAGAAUAAGCAAAGAAACACUGUAGGUAAUAGAGUCAAAUACUAACUCAACGACAGAAAUUUAAUUAGGACCACACGAUUUACUUGUAUGUAAGAUGUUUCAUAUAUCAAAGGCAAAUUAGGAGUUAAAUGGGAGAAGGAAAAACUGAAGACAAGUUGGAAAUAAAAAACAGCUUGUCAUGUUCUUGCCCUUUUCUUGGUCAAGCUGUUGAUUAGCAGGCAGCUAGCUAAGAG